This 3192-nucleotide long non-coding RNA is filed under the name Sus scrofa (pig). RNAcentral describes it as "lncRNA (ENSSSCG00055030460.1)". The record is from RNAcentral. Lineage: Eukaryota; Metazoa; Chordata; Mammalia; Artiodactyla; Suidae.
CCUUCUCAACUGUAAAAUAAUCAAUAAAUAGAAUCCAGAUGAAAAAUGCCAGCAUUUAGGAGAACAACUCUUUUAUGGCUCUUUUCUUUUGGGUCUAAUUAACACAUUGGGGAUAAAAUGUGCUGCUACAUUUGCCAACCAGCAAAGGUGAAACAUACACUCUCCUUUCCUCCUGCAGGGACACAGCUUCACAUCAGGAACACAGGUAAAACAGACAGGCCGUUUCAAAACAUUGUGAAAUGCUCCACAAACAGCUAUGGAAACCUGUGAGGAGAAGCAAUCUCUCUGUUUUGUUUUGUUUUGUUUUGUUUUGUUUUGUUUGUCUUUUUAGGGCUGCACCCCCAUGGCAUAUGGAAGUUCCCAGGCUAGGGGUCGAAUUGGAGCUACCAAAUUCAAGCCAUGUCUUCGACCUACACCACAGCUCAUGGCAACGGUGGAUCCUUAACCCACUGAAGGAAGCCAUGGCUUGAAUCUGUGUCCUCAUGGAUACGAGUCGGGUUCAUUACCACUGAGCCACAAUGGGAACUUCCCUGACUCUCUUUUAAAUGAGGAAGACAUGCCUUUUUGGACAAUGACCACCUGAGCCAUGAAAGUUUCAUGUGGGGCUCUCAGAGUGGAUGACACCUUUUCAAUUAUAACACUGCUAUAAUAAACCCCCACAGAGCCACAGGCCAUGGAGUCUAUAUCCAACACAGGAUACCUAUUUGUUCCCUAAUUAUAUUGCAAUAUAUUCUCCCUGCAUGUGUACUGAUGAAGAUAAAAUAUUCUUUUAAUUCUAUGGCCUCCUGCAGGGUAAAGGAGAGGGGACCAUACAUGGGCAAAUUCUGGGAGUUCCUGAUACUAAAUCACAGCCUUUGUUCCAGGCUCCCUCAUUGCAUAAUCACUCAAGAAAAUCACUCACUUUCCCUUAUUCUAACACAGCGGUUCUCUCUUCGUGGUCCAGGGGCCAAGAUCAUCAGCAUCACCUGGGAACUUGUUAAAAAUUCAAAUGACUAUGCCCACUCCCAGACCUACUCAGUCAAAACUUUGGGACUGGAGCACAGCAAUCUGUGUUAAAACAAUCCUUCCACGGUUACGUCUGAGAAGCACUGGUCUACAAAACUGGAAGGAAAGAGCAUCAUUUUAAAUAGAAUCAGGGACCAGGAAUACCUGGACUCUAUAGGGCCUGGGCUCCUUUCUGAGCAUCUGUCUCCAUCUGCAGAGUCAGGGCUCCAUUUAUCCAUCUGUACAAUGGGGCUACGGGGUUCACCGAGAAGCUGUGGAGGCUGGAAUUUAAGAGGUUCGCAGUUACCUGGCACCAGUCUCUAUGGAUACCUAGCAAGAUCACAGUUGCCAAUACUCACCAGCUCCCUCCCGCCAUGCUCUGACUGGCAGAAGCUCUGCAGAGCAGUCCUCCAAUGCCAUAUCUAAGGUCAUCAUUGCAGCUGCCUCUGGGUUACCCUUGGCAACCAGGAGCCAGUGGUCAUGGAAGCCCACGGAUCACCAAAUCUCAUGGUCAGUAGUUUCAAGCCUUUUCACCUUGGAGUCUUGAACCACUAAAGUGGCUUGGAAUUAUUUUUGUUAUAUCAUCCCAUUUCAGCACAUCUUUAGACACCUUUGUGUAUUUGCCUCUGCUCUACAACUAGACUUUAAGCCUGUGGAGGAGGACACCUAGGAGGUCAUGGUCAUGAGGUAGAGGACCCUGCCUGACUGCUUCAUUGCUGGCUCCCCAAGGCCUGGACCAGUGCCUGGCACAAACUAGGAGCUCAAGAACUGCUUGUUGACUAAACAUUCCUAGCACAGUAAAUGCUCUGCCUACAGUAAGUCCAACAGUAUCCCCAAAUCUUCGAGUAUCUAAAUUCUAAAAGUUAUGGCUGGGAAAGGUUUAAAGAAAGUGACUUGAAACCCCAGGGGACAAGGAGAAAAGGGCGAAGCAAGAGCCUAUUUCCCAGCUGGAGCCACAACCCUUGGUUCACGGGUGCUGACUUCCCCGCCAAUUGCUUACCCAAGGUCUGGAAAUAGAAGACCUCCGGGCCAGGUUCUGAGCUUGAUUCUAAGCAGCUGGUUCUUGCAGCUGUCGUAGUGCUUCUCACCUCAAAGGCCAGAUUUCUACUGGUUGUGAUGCUGCUGCCUUUUAACCAAACACUUAACAAGAGGUGACCUUUCCUACCCCUAAGUGAUUUAAACCUUGUGCUCCACAAUCCUUCUUCAAUUAGAAAUCUCAGGCUCAAUUCCAAAUCCUCCCUCCAGGAAUUAUCCCUAAUCCUGCUCUCUCCAAACAUGAUCUCACCUGGGAAGCCUAUACUCACUUUCUCAGCUACAAAACAGUGGAGGCUUUUUCCCUGUGGAUUGCAUUUUUCCCAGCUGGGCAGAGCCUUAAGGGCCCCUUUACCUCCAGACUUCGGUGCAGGAACAAGAUAGAUAACCAACCGACACCUAAGUGAUUUGUCCUAGAGGAUGAUCACAGCACAGCACCUAACAAGGGACCAGUUCUCUGCCUCUAACCUCACACACACCCAGUCUUCCCGUCUGCAAAGGUCUUAUAGUGGACGGAUUGGGAACACUUGCCCUGUGAUGAGAAAGUGGUUAGGGACAGAGUACCAGAAAAAGCCCUAAACUAGGAAUCCGGGGACCUGGUUUGCAUUUUCUUCCACACUUUAUUAGCUCUAAGGGAAUCCUUUCACUUCUCUGGGGCUUCCUUUGCAGAUCUGUGAAAUGGGAGGAAGAGGUGGAGACCGAAGUCAAGGACCUUGAAUUUCUCGAGGCUUAAAUAGCAUGUGAACAGCGGAGGAAGCUGGCGCGUGGUGAGAGAAGCUGAUCGAGUGGCUGAAGGUCAAUGCCCUCUGGGGACCCCGCCCAACCUUCAGAGGACAAGGGCCGAGAGACACUCUCCGCAAAGCCCUCAGCUCUCGGUCCCUCUAAAUCUUUCGAGGGAAGCUUUCCAACAGCACUCCAACAAAGAGGGCCGCGGAGCCGGGGUCCCGCUAGCUCCGCGGAAGCUGCACGGGGUAGAGAAUCCUGCCUCCCGGACCCUGGGAGCUAAAGGACACGCGCCCCUCGGCAGGCUCCGAAAGCCUCGGCCAGCCUUGGCUCGCCGUCACCUGGUCAGGGUAUUAACCCGUGCUUUCCCGGCAGAGCGCGGAAAAGGCGCUGAUGCCUGGGCACGAGUACCCUGGCGAGAGAGAGCUGAGAUGGCCAGGAGCCCAAACCACC